This 253-nucleotide ribosomal RNA is filed under the name uncultured bacterium. Its description in RNAcentral is "partial 16S ribosomal RNA". It matches the Rfam family "Bacterial small subunit ribosomal RNA", at positions 524 to 776 of the family's 1533-position model. The record is from RNAcentral.
UACGUAGGGUCCGAGCGUUGUCCGGAAUUACUGGGCGUAAAGAGCUCGUAGGUGGUUUGUCGCGUUGUUCGUGAAAACUCACAGCUCAACUGUGGGCGUGCGGGCGAUACGGGCAGACUGGAGUACUGCAGGGGAGACUGGAAUUCCUGGUGUAGCGGUGGAAUGCGCAGAUAUCAGGAGGAACACCGGUGGCGAAGGCGGGUCUCUGGGCAGUAACUGACGCUGAGGCGCGAAAGCGUGGGGAUCAAACAGG